AUACUCUCCUGGCAGGUGAGAUACCAUGAUCACUAAGGUGGUUGUCCCAGGCAGAGGCUCAUCCAUUGCACUCCGGGUGUGGUUCUGGUGUGCUGACUCUUGCAAUUUCCCCAAAUGCACGAAACUCAACUGCAUAAUUUGUGGUAGUGGGGGACUAUGUGGUGUAGCGGGUCCACA
Molecule: small nuclear RNA, 177 nt
Filed under: Erpetoichthys calabaricus (reedfish)
Lineage: Eukaryota; Metazoa; Chordata; Cladistia; Polypteriformes; Polypteridae
Description: U1 spliceosomal RNA (ENSECRG00000005342.1)
Rfam family: U1 spliceosomal RNA
About the family: U1 is a small nuclear RNA (snRNA) component of the spliceosome (involved in pre-mRNA splicing). Its 5' end forms complementary base pairs with the 5' splice junction, thus defining the 5' donor site of an intron.
Source: Rfam by way of RNAcentral